AUUGAACGCUGGCGGCAUGCUUUACACAUGCAAGUCGAACGGUAGAGGGGGCAACCCCUUGAGAGUGGCGAACGGGUGAGUAAUGCAUCGGAACGUGCCUAGCCGGGGGGGAUAACGCAGCGAAAUCUGUGCUAAUACCGCAUACGAUCUCUGGCUGAAAGCGGGGGACCUUGGAGCAAUCCGGGUCCUCGCGCCUUGCUAGCGUCUGAUGUCUGAUUAGGUAGUUGGUGGGGUAAAGGCUCACCAAGCCAACGAUCUGGAGCGGUGUCUCAGAGGACGACCAGCCAGACUGGGACUGAGACACGGCCCAGACUCCGACGGGAGGCAGCAGUGGGGAAUUUUGGACAAUGGGCGCAAGCCUGAUCCAGCAAUGCCGCGUGCAGGAAGAAGGCCUUCGGGUUGUAAACUGCUUUAGUACGGAACGAAAAGGUCUGGGUUAAUACCCUGGGCACAUGACGGUACCGUAAGAAUAAGCACCGGCUAACUACGUGCCAGCCGCCGCCGUAA
This 507-nucleotide ribosomal RNA is filed under the name uncultured bacterium. RNAcentral's name for it is "partial 16S ribosomal RNA". It matches the Rfam family "Bacterial small subunit ribosomal RNA", at positions 30 to 523 of the family's 1533-position model. The record is from RNAcentral.